GGCAGUAAAUGGCGCAGUGGUCUGAGUGUUGGACUACAACUGUAAAGACUAGGGUUCAAUCCCCUGCUUGGCCA
This is a non-coding RNA of Phrynosoma platyrhinos (Desert horned lizard), 74 nucleotides long. The record is from the annotation of a GenBank genome assembly. NCBI's taxonomy places the organism in Eukaryota, Metazoa, Chordata, Lepidosauria, Squamata, Phrynosomatidae.